CAACCAGCAACCGGCGAACGGGUGCGUAACACGUGAGCGACCUGCCCCUCCGCGGGGGAUAGCCGGCCCAACGGCCGGGUAAUACCGCAUACGGUCUUGUGGGGGCCUCCCCAGAAGACGAAACCUCCGGGGCGGAGGGAGGGGCUCGCGGCCUAUCAGCUCGUUGGCGGGGUAACGGCCCACCAAGGCGGCGACGGGUAGCUGGUCUGAGAGGAUGGCCAGCCACAUUGGGACUGAGAGACGGCCCAGACUCCUACGGGAGGCAGCAGUGGGGAAUCUUGCGCAAUGGCCUGACGGCUGACGCAGCGACGCCGCGUGCGGGAGGACGCCCCUCGGGGUGUAAACCGCUGUUGCCCGGGACGAACAGACCUUUUCCAAGGUCCUGACGGUACCGGGUGAGGAAGCACCGGCUAACUCCGUGCCAGCAGCCGCGGUAAUACGGAGGGUGCGAGCGUUGUCCGGAAUCACUGGGCGUAAAGGGCGCGUAGGCGGCCGAGCCAGGUCGUGGUGAAAGCCCGGGGCUCAACCCCGGGUCGGCCAUGGCAACUACUCGGCUGGAGUGCUGUAGAGGCGGGCGGAAUUCCGGGUGUAGCGGUGGAAUGCGUAGAGAUCCGGAAGAACACCGGUGGCGAAGGCGGCCCGCUGGGCAGCGACUGACGCUGAGGCGCGACAGCGUGGGGAGCAAACAGGAUUAGAUACCCUGGUAGUCCACGCUGUAAACGAUGGGCACUAGGUGCCUCGGGGAGCGACCCCCGGGGUGCCGGCGCUAACGCAUUAAGUGCCCCGCCUG
Molecule: ribosomal RNA, 790 nt
Filed under: uncultured Gemmatimonadota bacterium
Lineage: Bacteria; Pseudomonadati; Gemmatimonadota
Description: bacterial SSU rRNA
Rfam family: Bacterial small subunit ribosomal RNA
Source: RNAcentral